RNAcentral lists this ribosomal RNA (474 nucleotides) under uncultured bacterium. RNAcentral's name for it is "partial 16S ribosomal RNA". It matches the Rfam family "Bacterial small subunit ribosomal RNA", at positions 28 to 507 of the family's 1533-position model. The record is from RNAcentral.
GAUGAACGCUAGCGGCAGGCCUAACACAUGCAAGUCGAGGGAGGAGCCUUCGGGCUUCGACCGGCGUACGGGUGCGUAACGCGUAUACAAUCUGCCUUUCACAUAGGGAUAGCCCGAAGAAAUUUGGAUUAAUACCUAAUGGUAUAUAGAUGUGGCAUCACCUUUAUAUUAAAGCUGAGGCGGUGAAAGAUGAGUAUGCGUUCCAUUAGCUAGUUGGAGAGGUAACGGCUCCCCAAGGCGACGAUAGAUAGGGGUUCCGAGAGGGAUAUCCCCCACACUGGUACUGAGAUACGGACCAGACUCCUACGGGAGGCAGCAGUGAGGAAUAUUGGACAAUGGUCGGAAGACUGAUCCAGCCAUGCCGCGUGCAGGAAGACGGCCUUAUGGGUUGUAAACUGCUUUUGCAGGGGAAGAAUAAGGACUACGCGUAGUUUGAUGACGGUACUCUGCGAAUAAGCAUCGGCUAACUCCGUG